RNAcentral lists this ribosomal RNA (1000 nucleotides) under Arthrobacter sp. HBUM178326. RNAcentral describes it as "bacterial SSU rRNA". It matches the Rfam family "Bacterial small subunit ribosomal RNA", at positions 34 to 1051 of the family's 1533-position model. The record is from RNAcentral. Lineage: Bacteria; Bacillati; Actinomycetota; Actinomycetes; Micrococcales; Micrococcaceae.
UCCUUGCGGGUGCUUACCAUGCGAGUCGAACGAUGAUCCCAGCUUGCUGGGGGAUUAGUGGCGAACGGGUGAGUAACACGUGAGUAACCUGCCCUUGACUCUGGGAUAAGCCUGGGAAACUGGGUCUAAUACCGGAUAUGACUCCUCAUCGCAUGGUGGGGGGUGGAAAGCUUUUGUGGUUUUGGAUGGACUCGCGGCCUAUCAGCUUGUUGGUGGGGUAAUGGCCUACCAAGGCGACGACGGGUAGCCGGCCUGAGAGGGUGACCGGCCACACUGGGACUGAGACACGGCCCAGACUCCUACGGGAGGCAGCAGUGGGGAAUAUUGCACAAUGGGCGCAAGCCUGAUGCAGCGACGCCGCGUGAGGGAUGACGGCCUUCGGGUUGUAAACCUCUUUCAGUAGGGAAGAAGCGUAAGUGACGGUACCUGCAGAAGAAGCGCCGGCUAACUACGUGCCAGCAGCCGCGGUAAUACGUAGGGCGCAAGCGUUAUCCGGAAUUAUUGGGCGUAAAGAGCUCGUAGGCGGUUUGUCGCGUCUGCUGUGAAAGACCGGGGCUCAACUCCGGUUCUGCAGUGGGUACGGGCAGACUAGAGUGCAGUAGGGGAGACUGGAAUUCCUGGUGUAGCGGUGAAAUGCGCAGAUAUCAGGAGGAACACCGAUGGCGAAGGCAGGUCUCUGGGCUGUAACUGACGCUGAGGAGCGAAAGCAUGGGGAGCGAACAGGAUUAGAUACCCUGGUAGUCCAUGCCGUAAACGUUGGGCACUAGGUGUGGGGGACAUUCCACGUUUUCCGCGCCGUAGCUAACGCAUUAAGUGCCCCGCCUGGGGAGUACGGCCGCAAGGCUAAAACUCAAAGGAAUUGACGGGGGCCCGCACAAGCGGCGGAGCAUGCGGAUUAAUUCGAUGCAACGCGAAGAACCUUACCAAGGCUUGACAUGAACCGGAAAGACCUGGAAACAGGUGCCCCGCUUGCGGUCGGUUUACAGGUGGUGCAUGGUUG